GCGAGCUCUCUGCGCGCUCCGCUCCCCGCCGGUGCUGUCCGCUGCCGAGGCGCUGUGUGCGACCUCGGCGGGCAGGGGGCAGGAAGAGCCCGGAUUUCUUUUUUAGCUGAGUGUAACCUGGGCGCGCACAUCCGUGUGCUCUUUUGCAUUCGCCAGUGGUUUGCACUUGCUUGGAGGAGCGCUCAAGGCACUCUCGCCCUGCUUCAAGGAACGCGUUAUGAAGAGGAGACCAGCAAGGCGGCGCGGCGGGGUGAGGAGGGGUCCCGGAUCAUGGAAGCAUGCUCAUAUUCUGGCAGGCAUAUGCCCAGAACUUCGUUCGCAGCAUACAUGGAGAAGGAACUUCCUGAUUUUUGUAGUUGUUGCCUGUUAAAUCCCAAGAUGGACUCUCGUGGACGAAGUCUAUCAUUCCGUGAUUCCAUUCUCCAUGAGACUUCAUCUUGGUCUGAAUGGGGAGUGACGGAAGCUAGUCUUUGGGACAGAGCAUGGUUUUGGUAAUUUGGUAAGAUGAAUUUCUGUUAGUAGAUGGUUAAUAAAUAUGAGCAGAACACCUAUGAAAUCAAUAUAUAAUUCUUUAAUAAUGCUA
This is a long non-coding RNA of Equus caballus (horse), 583 nucleotides long. RefSeq lists it as uncharacterized. Lineage: Eukaryota; Metazoa; Chordata; Mammalia; Perissodactyla; Equidae. The record is from RefSeq and is a predicted model, not a curated record.